UUUAAGGCUUCACUUGAAGCCAUCAAAUACUUUAAUUUAAUAUUGCU
Non-coding RNA from Babesia bovis, 47 nucleotides. The record is from Rfam. NCBI's taxonomy places the organism in Eukaryota, Apicomplexa, Aconoidasida, Piroplasmida, Babesiidae.